RNAcentral lists this long non-coding RNA (2872 nucleotides) under Actinidia chinensis (golden kiwifruit). RNAcentral's name for it is "long non-coding RNA (ACHI_LNC004217)". Lineage: Eukaryota; Viridiplantae; Streptophyta; Magnoliopsida; Ericales; Actinidiaceae. The record is from RNAcentral.
AUUCAACUUCAAUACGCUGUUGGAAAGCCAUGCUCUUAAAGGUUAUGCUAGUGGAGCAAACGUCCAACACCUUCACGGUAAUGUUUGUCCAAAGAUUAAUCUAAUCCAAGAAUAGUUAUCAUGAUCUGGAUCAUAUGUUCAAAGUUCCUAAACGUGGGACUUUCUCUUUUUAACUUGACUUUCUUGUGCUUUUUCACUGUUGUUUUUGCAGGCAAGUUUGGUUGCACUCCUAUAUCUGGGUUGUUUCAGUUUUGUGCUUCUCUUCAUAUAUGGGUUUGAUUAUUUCCCUAAGUUUUUAUAUUUCUAAAAACAAAAUCUAAAAUCCUAAUUUGUGAGUUUUUCUUUCUUUCUUUCCAUUAAUAGGAGUUGGACUUGGUUUUUUUAUUGCAUUUCAGUUUUUAAUGAAUCAAUUGUUUAGUAAGUAGCUGGAAUUUAGGAGAGAUUGAUGGAGUUCGUUUUAGCACCUUCUCUGAAUGGAUAGGUAAGGAUUCUGUUCUUGAAAAAGUAAAUCACGAGUCCUUGUUUGGUUUCUCUCAAUACCCUGUUUCAUGGCUCUUGUUUCAUGGGCACUUUCUCAAAGCUGUUCAACUGUCAGUUAAAUUUGAGUCAAAUUAUAAUUCAAAAAUCAUUCAUUUUAGUUUAGUGAGUUAUUUUUUUUUAACAAUUACUCUAUCAGCCUCUCUAUUAUAAUUUUAUUCCAUUAAAAUAUUAAUUAUUUACUAUUUUUUUUCAAAGGUCAUAUUUUUUAAAUGAUCACAUUAUUUCCAUGGUAAUACUUUUAAAAAGUAUAUUUUUAAAAUAGUUAUAUCGUUCAUAUUUAAAAAAUAUACUUUUAAAAAGUAUAUUUUUUUUUCAAAAAUCAUUCAUGUUAUUUUUUUAUAAAAUAUAUCAUAUAGUUAUGUUUUUAUCUGAACUUAUAACAAGAUGCUACGGUUGGACUCGUCAUUGAACGAUUUGUGAUUACAAUUAAACUGAAAAAAUACAAAACUUUCUAUUUUAGUAAAAGUUUAAAGGUGAAGAUGUAAUUUAUGGAAAGAGAUUUAACCGCAAUAAAAGGCUAUUUUGAUGUAGUCUAUUUGAAGGUUUUUGCUAACCAAAACCCACGUUUGACCCACUUGAUGCGGAUGCUCCAAGAGCGUCUGUCUAUGCACAAACAUGUCCUUUUCAGUUUGAUGCCCCAUACAAAGCUAAAAUUGGAGGCAUCUCAAAAAGAAAGUAGUCCUUAUUCAGUGUUCAAAAACAGAAUAUUCUCUAUCAAAUGUGCUCAUCCAAUUCACGUCUAUCUACCUUGGGUUGCAUUUCAUUUAAAUUACCAAUUAUAAGUGUGAAUGUGUUCACUUACUUUCAUAGGGGUAAAUAAAAUCAGCUAUUUGACCUCAUCUCGUGGUGAACUGUAAAUUCUGAGGAUUUGUUCUAAAAGAGGGCCAUCUUUUUGUGGCUUUGUGUGGAUGGAUGAUGACGGAAGACUUAAAAUGAAAGAAUUACAUAUUGUAUGGCAUGUUUUUGGAACUUUGGACAAGUGUUUUCUAUCAAAAUGGAACAAUGAAGGAUAUGUUCGUCAAUAUUGUUCGUUGUAUGUGCCAUGUGCUUGUCACAUGACAAUUUUCAUUUAUAAGUAGAACCCUUGGGUGUUAAUUGCCUAUACUCAAAUGGAUGAACGGGCGUAAGCGUAUGGAGUUCAAACAUUAGGGGUAAUUCAGGAACAUGUCAGAGUUAAAAGGCGUUUACUGUAAUUUUACCGAGUAGUACCUCUUUGUGGUUUGGCCUUAAUAGUUAAUACAAAAUUACAAAUAUCCGGCCUAUUGGAAAUUACGUUGACCACCUUGUCAAGGUUUUCUUUAACUUUAAGAGUUAAUAGAAAUAUAAAUGAAUAUAUUACCCUUACAAGUUAAAAUGAAACUACUUUUAUCGUUCGCUUUGGGGUUGUUUGCAAUUGAUUUAAAAGUUAACUUUCUGUUUUUGCUCUAAAUUUUGGUUCUUACGCAGAAAUUAUUAAAGUGUUUGUAAUUUCUGUGAUAUUAUGAAUUUAAGCAGCUGAAUUGCUAGAUUGUGUUUUUUGAAAAAGUUUUAAGAGAAAGUAUGGGAUUAUUUUGUUUUUGCGAUACUUGUAUGGAACUCCAUGUUUUGGUGGGGGGGUGUUUCGUGGGGUGGGGGGGGGGGGGGGUGGCGAGGCCCUUUGGAUCUUUAGUUUUUAUGAAUGUCUCUUUUAGGGAUAUAAGAGGUAAGAAGAUUACAGAGAAACAUACGGGCUAAAAUGGACAUUUUGAAAGGUUUAGUGGAUGGCAUCAACAAGAACCGUUAGUCAACUGAUAGUGGCUGUGUAAUGCGGCAAUAAAUCCCAAGAGGGUGUAAUUUCUGAUACUUCAAGGGUAGUAGGGUAUUUGGACCAAACCAAAGGGGAGAUCAGUAUAUUUUACCCAUUUAAAAAGACUUUAGAAUGCAUGCCCAAUUAGGUCCAUAAUCCAACUCGUUGCCGUUUUCAACGCCACUCAAAAUCCCAUCAAACCAAAUGCUUUCCCCACACAAUCCCAUCCCCUCUCUCUCUCUCUCUCUCUCUCUCUCUCUCUAUAUAUAUAUAUAUAUAUAUAUAUAUAUAUAUAUAUAUCUCGAAACGCUGAAGGGCUGAACUGAAAGAAACCAGCAGAAUAUUAUAGAGAGAGAAGAAGGGAUGGCUUCCUUCUGCCAAACCUCUCUUGCCCACUCUCAUCCUUCACUCCAAACACAAACCAUAAUCCAGCAACCUUUCUCUCUCAUCCUACCAGACCCAUCGUUCCUCUCUCUGCCCUCCCCCAAGCUCGACCUCCCCUCCAAUAGGAAUUACCCAUUUCCAUACUUCUAAGGACCAAAACCAGCAGCAGCAGAGGAACAACUU